CCCUAGUAACGGCGAGUGAAGCGGCAACAGCUCAAAUUUGAAAUCUGGCUUCGGCCCGAGUUGUAAUUUGCAGAGGAUGUUUCUGGCGCGGUGCCUUCCGAGUUCCCUGGAACGGGACGCCACAGAGGGUGAGAGCCCCGUAUGGUUGGACACCAAGCCUGUGUGAAACUCCUUCGACGAGUCGAGUAGUUUGGGAAUGCUGCUCAAAAUGGGAGGUAAAUCUCUUCUAAAGCUAAAUACCGGCCAGAGACCGAUAGCGCACAAGUAGAGUGAUCGAAAGAUGAAAAGCACCUUGAAAAGGGGGUUAAACAGUACGUGAAAUUGUUGAAAGGGAAGCGCUUGUGACCAGACUUGCGCCGGGCGGUUCAUCCGGGGUUCUCCCCGGUGCACUCCGCCCGGCUCAGGCCAGCAUCGGUUUUCGUUGGGGGAUAAGAACGUCAGGAACGUGGCCCUCCUUCGGGUGGGUGUUAUAGCCUGGCGUACGAUACCCUGACGGGGACCGAGGUUCGCGCUCCGCAAGGAUGCUGGCGUAAUGGUCAUCAGCGACCCGUCUUGAAACACGGACCAAGGAGUCGUCCAUUAGAGCGAGCGUUUGGGUGUCAAACCCGCACGCGUAAUGAAAGUGAAAUUAGGUGAGAGCUUCGGCGCAUCAUCGACCGAUCCUGAUGUUCUCGGAUGGAUUUGAGUAAGAGUUUUAACGGACGGACCCGAAAGACAGUGAACUAUGCUUGUAUAGGGUGAAGCCAGAGGAAACUCUGGUGGAGGCUCGCAGCGGUUCUGACGUGCAAAUCGAUCGUCAAAUAUGAGCAUGGGGGCGAAAGACUAAUCGAACUGUCUAGUAGCUGGUUACCGCCGAAGUUUCCCUCAGGAUAGCAGUGUUGACCUUCAGUUUUAUGAGGUAAAGCGAAUGAUUAGGGACUCGGGGGCGCUUUUUAGCCUUCAUCCAUUCUCAAACUUUAAAUAUGUAAGAAGCCCUUGUUACUUAGUUGAACGUGGGCAUUCGAAUGUAUCAACACUAGUGGGCCAUUUUUGGUAAGCAGAACUGGCGAUGCGGGAUGAACCGAACGCGGGGUUAAGGCGCCAGAGUGUACGCUCAUCAGACACCACAAAAGGCGUUAGUACAUCUUGACAGCAGGACGGUGGCCAUGGAAGUCGGAAUCCGCUAAGGACUGUGUAACAACUCACCUGCCGAAUGUACUAGCCCUGAAAAUGGAUGGCGCUCAAGCGUACCGCCCAUACCCCGCCCUCAGGGUAGAAACGAUGCCCUGAGGAGUAGGCGGCCGUGGAGGUCAGUGACGAAGCCUA
RNAcentral lists this ribosomal RNA (1305 nucleotides) under Diversimorbus metrosideri. RNAcentral's name for it is "eukaryotic LSU rRNA". It matches the Rfam family "Eukaryotic large subunit ribosomal RNA", at positions 78 to 1412 of the family's 3401-position model. The record is from RNAcentral. Lineage: Eukaryota; Fungi; Ascomycota; Sordariomycetes; Diaporthales; Cryphonectriaceae.